Gorilla gorilla gorilla (western lowland gorilla) is the source of this 100-nucleotide small nuclear RNA. NCBI's taxonomy places the organism in Eukaryota, Metazoa, Chordata, Mammalia, Primates, Hominidae. The record is from Ensembl.
UUACUUUGGCAGUACAUAUACUAAAACUGGAACAAUACAAAGAUUGGCAUGGCCCCUACAUAAGGAUGACAAGCAAAUUCAUGAAGCAUUCCAUAUUUUU